CAGAAUGAAGACCUAAAUGACCUCAGCAAAUCCUCCUUUAACUCAUGGGUACCCAGACUCUAAAUAUUUCAUGAUUCACAACCAGGACCUCACAUCUUCCUCCUCAGUAGAUGGUACGAUGCACCCAUUUCAGUUUGUUUACUUUACACAAUCCUCAGGAGUUUGUUGACUGAACUGCACGUUCUAUAUCGUGCCAAGAAAAAAGCACUGUGACACCAGAACAAUGAGUCUGCAUAAACUUCAUCUUCAACCUUAAGGACUUAGCUGGCCACAUGAGCUGAUGGGCCACCGUGCCACAAGAGAAUGAGUUUACGCUCAUUGCAUUUACAAGACACAUUUCAUCUGCUGCUGAAACCGUGUACGACAGAGCAUCAUUGUAAAUUAUUUCCUAUGGAACUGUUGCGUUGGGUGGAGAGAGCCAUAGAUUUUGGUUCUCAAUUGUAUAGUUCUAUUUGCUGAUACUAUCUCUU
This 470-nucleotide long non-coding RNA is filed under the name Bos taurus (domestic cattle). Its description in RNAcentral is "long non-coding RNA NONBTAT011751". Lineage: Eukaryota; Metazoa; Chordata; Mammalia; Artiodactyla; Bovidae. The record is from RNAcentral.